UGCAGUCGGACGGUAGCACAGAGAGCUUGCUCUUGGGUGACGAGUGGCGGACGGGUGAGUAAUGUCUGGGGAUCUGCCCGAUAGAGGGGGAUAACCACUGGAAACGGUGGCUAAUACCGCAUAACGUCGCAAGACCAAAGAGGGGGACCUUCGGGCCUCUCACUAUCGGAUGAACCCAGAUGGGAUUAGCUAGUAGGCGGGGUAAUGGCCCACCUAGGCGACGAUCCCUAGCUGGUCUGAGAGGAUGACCAGCCACACUGGAACUGAGACACGGUCCAGACUCCUACGGGAGGCAGCAGUGGGGAAUAUUGCACAAUGGGCGCAAGCCUGAUGCAGCCAUGCCGCGUGUAUGAAGAAGGCCUUCGGGUUGUAAAGUACUUUCAGCGGGGAGGAAGGCGAUGAGGUUAAUAACCUUGUCGAUUGACGUUACCCGCAGAAGAAGCACCGGCUAACUCCGUGCCA
This 462-nucleotide ribosomal RNA is filed under the name Pantoea sp. RNAcentral describes it as "bacterial SSU rRNA". It matches the Rfam family "Bacterial small subunit ribosomal RNA", at positions 56 to 510 of the family's 1533-position model. The record is from RNAcentral. Lineage: Bacteria; Pseudomonadati; Pseudomonadota; Gammaproteobacteria; Enterobacterales; Erwiniaceae.